ACUAGUGCAAGUCAUUGUUCAAGAUAAAGAACAAUGGAGAGCUGGGACUUCAAAAAGUAGUCAUGAAGUCUCUUUUUAUACAUACAAGGCAAGUAUUAUUCUGCUUACACUACAAGCUCAAUGGGCUGAAAUAUGUACAAAUCCAAACAGAAACAGAGGAUUGUUUACUGUCAUUUAUUUUUUACCUUCAUUAUUUGGUGUACUGCUUUGAGCCAAAUAUUCUAUUAAUCAGGGCUUAGAAAGUAUUUUAUGUUUAUGAAGAAAAAAGAAGGAACAAAAUGGAUUAACUGAUUGAUGCUAACUUAGCUUUAGAAAGAUCUUGUUUUUUUUAGAAAAAAAUCUGAAUAUGUUCACUUGAUUAAUUUUUUGUUGGUAACAUCAUUUUUGAGUUGUACUGCGGGUAUUCAGCACACAAGUAAGAACUGAGUUUCUUCUUUUUAAUUGACUUACAAAAUAGGCAGAGGGAAAUCAUGUUUCAGAAUAUCAAAGGAUCACAGUAAAAAGUUUUGUUACAGAAAGCAAUUUCUACCACCACUAUGCCUUUUACCUAAAAACUUUGUUUUCAUUUGUCUGUGUUAUUCUUUCUUUCAUGUGCAAAACACCAAAGAGCUUCUGAGUCCCAAGAAUAUCCAAAGGUUUAGUGUCCCCCUAAGAAAAGUUGGGCCACCUGACAAAAGCUAACCAGCACUGAUUUAUAGCAGUGUGGAAGUGCAUAGGUUGCUGUGGUUACAGAAAUACCAAAACCUAGCUUGGGUCUUUGACUACGGUUGGAGGGAAGCACUGUUGCAGGUUUCUGUUUAGAACUAACCGUGUUACCAACAGCAGUUUUUGUAGGAUGUAUUUCCUGAACUCUUAAAAAUAAUGUUCUUAAGAUAAGUGCUAACACAUUAGCAGCCAGAUGCUGCUCGUUAGGAAAGAAGAGUGACUAAGCUCAAAUCACCAGCAGUAUCAGAGUGAAAAAAAAAAAAAAAAAACAAAAAACAAAAAACAAAAAAAACUUUCUGGAUUUAUUUUCUUUUGGGGCAACACAAUUAUUUGCAAAGUUCUGUCACGCAUCAGCUGGCAAUAUAUUUGUGCUCAGUUUUAAAAUGUGCCUGUAUUCUGAAAUGACCUAUUUUUUUUUUAUUAUAAUCAAAUAAAAUCAAUUAAUGUAUUUUUCAUCCUUUAACCAAAACUAAGCACUUUUUGAAACCCCUAGUGACUGUGCAUUCAGCACUGCAUUCCCUCUGGGAAAAGCUGCUACUCUAAACUCGUGACACAAUUACAUUGAUUCACUUUUCCUCAGCGCUAAAAAUGGGCAAAUCCAGGUUAACUGUGAGCAUAAACUCUACAACAAAAGAACUCCUUCAAUGAGCAGCCUAAACUUUCCUUACAGGGGCUUAUUUGAAUAUUCCUAUCCCUGUUGUAAAGAACAGACAAUUGAUGCAGUCUGCUUCACUGUGGCAGAACUAUAGAUAAAGCUUUUGCCUUGUCCUUAAGGUAGCAUUCUCUUUGUACGCAGGUGUCCUAUCAAGUUACUUAUUUACAGCUGAGUUACAACAUUCCUUUCCGUCUUCCACUGCAUACGUGUGUGUGCGUGUGUGUCUACAGAAACACACACUGGAACGAAGAGGGGUAAAUAUGCACUGAUAUCCUGUCUACGAAUGGCACCCAAAAUUGGUAACACUUGAGUCUCAAAAGUCUAACCCGUUUGAUCUUGUCUAGGAAGCAGAAGUUCCAGUAUAGUCAUGUAAUGCAUAAGCAGAGUUUUUCCCUGCUUACUGCAUGAAAUGUGGAUUUAAAACUUAAGCAAUCUUUACUGUAUGUUCCAUUACACUUAACUAUAGCUGAGGUCUUUUAAACAGCACGAUAAUUGCUAAUGAAAUGAUCAGGUUUUCAGUUCAUUUAACAUGUAAUAUUUGUAUGAUUAGGCAUUAUGCAUUUCCUUAACAUUCUUAUACUUAGCCAGUGAAUAUACUAUGCAGAAUUAAUGAAAGAAAUUAUAUGAUUUUCUCUGUAAUGUUUAUUCACAGUAUUAUCACCAUGUGAUUUAAUUAUUCUGAUCAGUAUAGGUCUGACUAUCAUAACACUCAUGCAAAGGAAGGGCAAGUGUUCAGAGCUAUAACAGUAAUAUUUUAUCUGCUCUGUACAAAAUUAUAGAAACACUUAAAUGUCCAUGUGAACUUAGAAUACUUUCAGCCUGAGAAUACUUUUGUUUUCUCAGGUUUUCAGGACUUGGGGUUUGCUUGUUGCCCUGGUAAACAGCAUUAUUUUUAAGUUAAAUGAGUUCCUUUAAAAAUAAGACUUUUGCACAUGUAUGGAUUUGUAUUUGAAUGUCUAAUAAACAGCUUUUGUUUGGGAACUAAAACUGUCAAUUGAUUGGACUGUUCUAGAGAGUGACACAGCUCCCUGAACUAAUCAGAGCUAUUAUUGCUUGUCCUGAAAUAAGGAAGUGCAAAACUGCAGUUCAUAUACAAGCACCUUUCUUAGAGAGCUAAAUGACAGUUGCCCUUUCAUGAACUUGAACUUAUCUGCAGUUGAGAACAAAAAAAGUGAUAAAAAUCUGGGUAAUGAAAGUGCAUUGGUUUCGAUUUUCAGUGGUUUGUUUGAGAGCUAAUCUUGAUCUUUCUGAAGUUGCUGGUAAAAAUAUUGUAAAUGAGUUGUGUGGGUACAGCCUAUGGUGGAUUAAAAAGUUCUUGCUAGUACCUGGAGAUGUCAGCUAUUGGCCCACCUGAAAUAAAAUCCUGUGUAAGAAAACAUUAACAACCUGAGCCUGAGUGAGAAGUCUCAUUCAGUGUUCAUGCUUGUGGCCUGGGGAGCAUGAGGCGAUCUGACAUAAGAUACACAAGCCAAUUACUACUUAAUGCUUACUGAAUAAUUCACUGAAAAAUGGAUCGUAGAAGUGUGCUUAAUGCUUUACUCAAUUCUGAAAUUGUGAUUAAAAUGUGUGACUGAACCAAGCAGAAGCUUGGCACUAAAUCUGUUUGUUAGUAUUGGCAAUAGAUUAUUAUUGUUGUUUUUUGUUGUUGUUGUUGUUUGUUUGUUUGUUUGUUUGUUUUUGGUUUUUUAAGAGGAAGAAGCUCAAAAGAGCUGGAGUAUUUUGAUUUGAAAAUUGGCAAAUGUGAUUGCCUGAGGGGUAGACAGGGGUAGAAACUGUUUUAUUGAGUAGAUAAGAAUUCUGAACACAGCAGGAAACAUAAUCUACAAAGCUUUCCAAAAAUGCCAGCACUGAUAUUAAAUAUGUAUGCCUCACCCCAUUUGAGUAAUAAGAGUACUGUGAGUUAAAUUUAUUUCUCACAGUGGUGAAAAACACAUCCCACACAGAUAUGAUAAAGCACCAGAAGAACAAUGAGACAACCUGGGGGAUGAGCACUGCUGUGCUACCAACCAGCAGGCCUACGGCCCCUCCAACCUCUUCCCGCACCCCCAGGCGAAGAGAAUCCCAAGGAUAAGGCUGUGGGCAAGGUCCCUGUGCUACACGGCUCCCAUGCACUUCCUAGAGCCUGCCUGGCCCAGCUCCCCGGACACGGGAACCUCCACUACUUCCCUUGGAUCAAAAGAAAAAAUAUGCUGUCCAAAGUACUCCGCUACAUGCCACAGGCAAGCAGACCAUCCUGCACAUAGCUUGACUUGCCUAAGAAAUUUGCUUUGCUCCGUAGUGUUUGAAGAAUCUUUGUGGGAUUUUUUGUGGGAAAGCCAUAACAUGCAUUAACUCUCGGACUUCACAAUUCUUCACCUUAUCUGCAAGCAAAUAAAAAGUCUGUGGAAAUCUAAAUGGUAGAUUUGAAAAUGAAGGAUCUGAGAAUGAUGGCAAGGAAUAAGAACCACAAGAGAACUGUUCUCAGAAGAUUUACUACAAUGCUGUCAAAGCUUCUUGCAUGUACUUCAUUUAAUAUAAGUAAUCACCAUACAGUAGCGAGCAUAUAUGUAACCAGUAUAUAUAUAUGUGUACUGUGUAUAUAUAUAUACAUAUAGUGUGUGUAUAUAUAUAUAUAUGGUUAUGGCCAGCAUAAGAGAUAGUAAUAGUCUGAUAGUUUGGGGUAAUCCCAAAGCAAAUGUCAGCUCUCACAAAUCCUGAAAGCCAUUGAUUAUGACUCUAUUACUAAUGGAAGAUAAAAUAAAAAUCAACAGCAUUGACAUUAUAGGAAGAAGGAAAAAGAGUUGUGGAAUGAUUAAAGGACAAAGGAAAAAAAAUCUGAUUUAGCUGAAUCUGAGUGAAUCCAGCUGAAACGUCCAAAGGUUUAGUAGUGGGGAGAAGAUGUUCCUUUUACAUUCACCAGCUCUUGAAGUUGUUUGUAACAGAGUCAGAUCGCUUCAGGGCUCCCUUAACGUAAAUCUAAAUCACAAGAUCAAGAGAGUACUUUGUUAGCAAACUAUUGCAAAAGUAUAAAUUCCCAGUAACAGUGUCUUUCCUACUAAAUCACAAGAUCAAGAGAGUAUUUUGUUGGCCAAUUAUUGCAAAAAUAUAAAUUCCCAGUAACAAUGUCUUUCCUGUGAUAAUGUCUCACGCACUGUUGGGCUGGGCUGAAAAAGAUAUUAAAAAGAUAUGUUCUUUAAUUUAGAAGAAUAUGUUCUCUUUACGUUUCAUAUACAUGUGUGGCUGCCAUAACCUAAUGCUUCGACAGUAAUACAACAUCGCAUCUUCAUACAAGCCAAAAUUUGAUGCCAAUUCUUUUGUAAGCUAUACAAAACAGAAUAAAAUUUCUAAAAGGAAAACUGAAAAUUUACAAAUAAACAUAACCAUAUUUGGCAGUACGAAUGUUUGUACUAUUUUUUAGAAAAAUUAGAUACAGUGGAGGAUAGAAAUUUCCUGCCAAUAGGAUUCAUAGCAACUGAAAAGCCAAUAUAGCAAUAAAACCUUACACAAUUAUUGUCUGAAAGUCCAAGUUAGCUGUUAUAGUCAAUGUUAACUACAUAAAUGUUAAACUAAUAAACCCUGGAAAAUAUACUGCUAGGCAUUGCAUCCACUGCAAAAUGCAGCAGCUAACCUUCGAAAACUUGUAAGUAAUAAGAGCUUUAGCACCAGACCAAAGAAAAUGCCCUUACUGAUUCAUUCCACUAUGUCUUUGUCCCAGUUUUUCUAUUCCUGGACUUUAAAACACUUUUUAACAGAUAUAAUUUAUCCUCUGAGACCACUAACACUGUGAAACAUACCACAGCAGUAUCUUCCUGAUAGUUUCAGAUCAAGGAACAUAAAACAGAUGAAUGUGCUAAAUGACUGUUUUGGUUGACUCCUCCUCAUUCCUGAAGAUAAAUGUACUUUCUUCUGCUGUUUUGAAACCUGAACUAUACUUACAGGAGUGCUGCUGAGAUGGUAAUCACAAUUUGAAUAAAGGUAAUUGCUAAGUUUAUUCAGGAGGACAUAUCAGCAAACAAGACCUCAAGACUUCAUUGACAGGAAUCUAAAAAGACAAGAGUUUGAAAGACAGCAUCAAAAGCUCUUUUCCAUUGGAUGACCUUCUGCAGCUGUCCAUGUAGUGUCUGUGCUGUAAACAGCAAGUUUCUUUCUAGACAGGUAGCUGAAAAAACAAAGGUUAUUUUCUCUUACAUUAAAAAUGACUCUUGCACACUGGAUUGAUUGGAGUCUUCUAUAAAAUUUAUGCCAAUCAGCUGCUGUUUCCAUUGACUUCCAAGAAAAUCUUGCUGUUUGAUUCUCUCUUAGGGCUUUUAAAAUUUCUUAAUUUCCCCAAAUGCUUUACCAAUCCAUUUUCAGUAUUCCUACUCUUAUUGUUCUAAAUUGAUUCAUAGCCAGUCAAGACAAAUAACAGUUCCCAGCAAUUUCAGAUAUAUGGCAUCUUCAGGUAUGCAUUUUCUAGUAACAGCAGGAGAAUAAUGUGUGG
Long non-coding RNA from Anas platyrhynchos (mallard), 5819 nucleotides. RefSeq lists it as uncharacterized. Lineage: Eukaryota; Metazoa; Chordata; Aves; Anseriformes; Anatidae. The record is from RefSeq and is a predicted model, not a curated record.